RNAcentral lists this transfer RNA (72 nucleotides) under Loxodonta africana (African savanna elephant). It matches the Rfam family "tRNA". From Rfam's summary of the family: Transfer RNA (tRNA) molecules are approximately 80 nucleotides in length. Lineage: Eukaryota; Metazoa; Chordata; Mammalia; Proboscidea; Elephantidae. The record is from Rfam by way of RNAcentral.
GCCCUGGUGGCUCAGUGAUUAAGUGCUCGGCUACUAACUGACAGGUUGGUGGUUCGAACCCACCCAGUGGCU